CACUGUACAUCUACCAGCAGCAUGCCCCAUCCAAUUGGACAUCACGUCUGCAUGUAAUGUCAAUUUACACUGUACACAGACACACACACACUUACAAGCAGCACGUGUGACCAGCUCAGAGGUGCCUCUCGCGCUCUAACGCACACACCAUCCGAUUGGACAUCACGUCUGCAUGUAAUGUCAAUUUACACUGUACACAGACACACACACACUUACAAGCAGCACGUGUGACCAGCUCAGAGGUGCCUCUCGCGCUCUAACGCACACACCAUCCGAUUGGACAUCACGUCUGCAUGUAAUGUCUAUUUACACUGUAGACACAUACUUGCACAAGCAGCACAUGUGACAAGCUCAGAGAUACCUCUCACGCUCUAA
This is a long non-coding RNA of Dermacentor silvarum, 375 nucleotides long. RefSeq lists it as uncharacterized. The transcript has 3 exons. The record is from RefSeq and is a predicted model, not a curated record. Lineage: Eukaryota; Metazoa; Arthropoda; Arachnida; Ixodida; Ixodidae.